AAGCCCCGGCACCUUUUAGGGUGCGUCUCCAAAUUUGCACUUUGGCGUAAAUUCACCUCGAGGCU
RNAcentral lists this transfer RNA (65 nucleotides) under Coleonyx variegatus. RNAcentral's name for it is "tRNA-Cys". Lineage: Eukaryota; Metazoa; Chordata; Lepidosauria; Squamata; Eublepharidae. The record is from RNAcentral.